UUUUAUGUCACUAGGUCGGCAAACAAGCGUACGGCUCCUGAUGCGUACGGCUCACCUGAUGGUAAGCGAUUACCGUAGCUUAUAGACGCCUGCAACACCAGAAGCAUCGAAAGCGCGUUGCCGACCCAAUCCCCCCAGGAGCUCUGGUCACCUUACUCACCAACAGGAACACAAUACUGCUUGAAAACAGUAUUAUUUAGCUGUGAUCUUCUGUAAGGAGGUACUAUCCCAGUCGGGCUGCUCCAUAUUUUGAGCAGGAAAUUCCUGCUGUGCCCUACCACAGUUAAAAA
RNAcentral lists this unclassified non-coding RNA (290 nucleotides) under Melitaea cinxia (Glanville fritillary). RNAcentral describes it as "misc RNA ENSMCXG00005021181.1". The record is from RNAcentral. Lineage: Eukaryota; Metazoa; Arthropoda; Insecta; Lepidoptera; Nymphalidae.